This 364-nucleotide long non-coding RNA is filed under the name Brassica napus (rape). Its description in RNAcentral is "long non-coding RNA (BNAP_LNC014569)". Lineage: Eukaryota; Viridiplantae; Streptophyta; Magnoliopsida; Brassicales; Brassicaceae. The record is from RNAcentral.
UUAAACAAGAUGUUUGGACUGGGGUUUGUGUCGAAAGUCUGUCUAGCAGGUUAGCUUGAUGGCGUGUUCUGUUCGGGAUAACGGCGGUACAAAGAGGAGUCCAAGACUAUGUUGAUUUAAGGCACAAGUGUGUUGCAUUAGGGAUUGCUUUAGGGUUCAAAGCAUGUAUGGUUCUGUUAAUACAACCGAUUCAAGGAAGAGUUUGAUUCUAAGAUCAAGUGCACAUGAUAAGAAUCAAAGGGAAUCAAGUUGCAAGGUUUGAUAAGGAAAAAUCAAACGAGGUUUCUGAAAAUCUCAGAAGUAUAGUGAGUGAGAAGGUUACCUGCGACAAUUAUGAAGCUAUGGUGAAGAGAUAUUGGCUUCA